RNAcentral lists this microRNA (22 nucleotides) under Salmo salar (Atlantic salmon). RNAcentral's name for it is "ssa-miR-2188-3p". Lineage: Eukaryota; Metazoa; Chordata; Actinopteri; Salmoniformes; Salmonidae. The record is from miRBase by way of RNAcentral. RNAcentral also lists the same sequence under 5 other names.
GCUGUGUGAGGUCAGACCUAUC